This 62-nucleotide non-coding RNA is filed under the name Asticcacaulis benevestitus. The record is from RNAcentral. RNAcentral also lists the same sequence under 1 other name. Lineage: Bacteria; Pseudomonadati; Pseudomonadota; Alphaproteobacteria; Caulobacterales; Caulobacteraceae.
GGUUAUAAAGGUUUUGCUCCGGACGAGAUGCGCCGUACCCGGUCAAGACAAGACGACGCUUU